RNAcentral lists this long non-coding RNA (4091 nucleotides) under Salmo salar (Atlantic salmon). RNAcentral describes it as "lncRNA (ENSSSAG00000093824.1)". The record is from RNAcentral. Lineage: Eukaryota; Metazoa; Chordata; Actinopteri; Salmoniformes; Salmonidae.
UUUAAAUCAUAUGAACAUAAAAUAUUUCACUUUAUUUGGAACACUAAGCCAGACAAAUUUAAAGUGCCUAUUUAUAUAAUGAAUAUAAGUUUUAGGCACUGAAAUUAUGAAAUAUUAAAGCAUUAAACCUCUCACUAAAAGCUUCACUCAUACAUAAAUUAUACUUAAACCCGAACUUGUUCUCCAGUAGAUUACUAAGAAAGGCUCAACCUGUGUUCAUUUUGUUUUGUCUUUUUACAGAUUACAACUUCUACUUUUUGGUUAAUUGAAAAAUAAACUUUGUUCAAAGUAUCGCCCUUUCUGAAACAAGCCUUACAAAGCUGGUUACAAUUUAAAUUGUAUCCUCCAGAAAAGAUAGAACAAAUAUUACAACAAAUAUUAUGGUUAAACUCAAAUAUACUAAUUGCUAAAAAAAACUACAUGAUGGACAUUUGAAAAAAAGUAUUAUAUAUAUUAAGGAUAUUAUGAGUAGUAAUGGUGGAUUUAUGUCACACAUGCAGCUAUUGAAAAUAUAUGGGAGUGUUUGCUCAGUCCAAACUUACAACCAACUGAUUGCAGCAUUACUGCAAAAAUGGAGAGGCAAGUGGAAGGGGGACAAAGUAGAGAAUGUGUUAGUCUGCUAUAUAUUAAAGACCAAAACUGUCUGAAAAAGAUUGGCAUAAAUAGAAAAAUAUACCAGUUUCAUUUGAGGACAAAAAAUGUUGACAGCUGUGCCAUUCAGGUAGCAAAAAUGUUUUACUGAUGUACCAAUUCCAUGGCACACGGUAUAUAAACUGUACACAAAACAACACUUGAUUCAACUGCAAGUUUUUCAGUUGAAAUUAUUAUACAAUAUUCUUGCGUGUGGAACUCAAAAAGGGGUGGUCUUUGGAGACUGGUGGGAUGGGCUGAGAGUAGCAGAGCACUGGGUUUAUAAAGCUCAUAAUCGGUAAUAGUUAUUAUUGAAAACACUAGGUAGGUUGUUUGUAUAUAUUUUUUUUUAAAUGUCUUUGUUAUGUAACUGUAACAAAAAAUGUACCGUGUAUGUAAAAUGUGUGUAAAAUGUAUAAGUAACAGAAAAAACUGUAAAAGCAAAAAUGUAAGGGGAUUCUAUUGUGUAUUGCUGACCAUCCAAUACACUGCUACAGCAGAACUAACCUUCAGUGUCUCUCUUUCUCUCUCUCCCUCCCUUCCCUCUGUAGUUAGUGAAGCACAGGGACAGGGUGUUUGUUGGUGGGGGACAAGGUGUUUGGUGGGGGACAAGGUGGGGGACUAUGUUGGCAUGCUGCUGGAUGAAACCCUGUUUUACUCUAGCCUUGAACAAGGAAAUAAGUUAUCUUUCGAGCUGGGCAAGGGUGUGUGUGUCUCAAGUGUGUCUGUGUGUUAGUGUGGGCCAGGCAAUCAAGGUGUUGGACCUGGGUGUAGUCACUGUGUGUGUCUGUGUGUGUGUGUGUGUGUGUGUGUGUGUGUGUGUGUGUGUGUGUGUGUGUGUGUGUGUGUGUGUGUGUGUGUGUGUGUGUGUGUGUGUGUGUGUGUGUGUGUGUGUGUGUGUGUGUGUGUGUGUGUGUGUGUGUGUGUGUGCGUCAUGCAAUCAAGUUGUGAUACCUGGGAGUGGUUACUAUGAAAGAAGUACAACCAGAGUACGACUACGGCAGUCCCCCCAAAGAUACCCCCCAACCACGUCUUCCAGAUGGAGCUGUUUGAGUUACAAGGGAGGAUGGAGGAAUCAUCUGUCGCGUCAUCACUAAGGGACUGGGAUACGCCGAGCCUAAUGAAGGAGCUGCCGUAAAAGGUGGGCUAAAGGAGUUGGUGGAGGCAGAGCUGCAAGCCAGGGAUGAGAAAGGCCGUUAUUCAACGUUUUUUUUGUGAGACUAUUAUAGACAUAGACAAAGCUCAAAAGAGAGGAAAGUAUCUGUAUCAGAGGAGGCUAUGUGUUGGCAUGUCCCCCAUCUAGUCCUGUAUAGCUGACACUAAAUGGUCCUAAAGGCCCCAUUUACAUUUGACAUUUUAGUCAUUUAGCAGACACUCUUAUCCAGAGCGACUUACAGUUAGUGCUAUCAUCUUAAGAUAGCUAGGUGGGACAACCACAUCUCACAGCCCUGGGGGACACCAGUAGUGAGAGUCCGUGGUGCAGACACAAAUCCUCUCAACGUCAUCUGGUAGGAGCGGCCUGCCAGGUAGGAUGCAAACCAAGAGUCUGCAGAGCCUGAGAUACCCAUCCCUGAAAGGGUGGAGAGGAGGAUUUGAUGGUUCACGGAGUCGAAGGCAGCGGAUAGAUCUAGGAGGAUGAGAACAGAGAAGAGUCAGCUUUGGCAGUGCGGAAAGCCUCCGUAACAGAGAAGAACAGUCUCGAUUGAGUGACCCGUCGUGAAGCCUGACUGGCUAGAGUCAAGACGAUUGUUCUGAGAGAGAUAACGAGAAAGUUGAUCAGAGACAGCACGCUCAAGUGUUUUGGAAAGAUAAAAAAGAAAGGAUACAGGUCUAUAGUUUUUGACGUCAGAUGUUGUUUGGAUGUCAGAUGUUGGUCGAGUGUUGGUUUCUUGAGGAGGGGAGCAACUCGGGCCAUUUUGAAGUCAGAGGGGACACAGCCAGUGGUCAGGGAUGAGUUGAUGAGGGAAGUGAGGGAAGUGAGGAGUGGGAGAAGGCCUCCAGAGAUGGUCUGGAGGAGGGGAUGGGGUCAAGCAGGCAGAUUGUCAGGCGGCCAGACCUCACUAGUCGCAGGAUGUCAUCUGGAGAGAGUGGGGAGAAAGAGGUCAAGGCAUAGGGUACUUCUAUGUGAGUGAGACCAGUGGACUCAAUAGGCUGAGUGAAUGAGUAGCGGAUGUCGUCAAGCUUUUUUCAAAGUGGACCGCAGAGAGGGAGGAGUGAGGGGCAGGGAGUUUACUAGGGUUAGAGGCAGAAGCUUGAAAUUCAGAGUGGUAGAAAGUGGCUUUAGAAGCUGAUACCUGGGAAGAGAAGGUAGGUAGGAGGGAGUGAAAGAAUGAUAGGUCCUCUGGAAGUUUAGUUUUCCUCCAUUUUUGCUCAGCUGCCUGCAGCCCUGUUCUGUAAACUCGCAACGAGUCACUUGGCCACGAAGCAGGAGGGGAGGGCCGACCUGGUCGGGAGAAAAGGGGACAGUGCGAGUCAUAGGAUGAGGAAAGGGAGGAGAGUAGGGUCGAAGUGGCAGAAUCAGGAGACAGGAGGGAGAAGGAUUUAGCAGAAUGGAGAUAGGAUAGAAGAGGAGAGAGUAGAGGGAGAGAGAGAGAGUGAAGAUUGUGAUGGCGCUUGACCAUCUGGGUAGAGGCUGAGUGGUUAGGGUUGGAGGAUAGGGAGACUGAAAAGGAAACAAAGUAUUGAUCAGAGACCUGGAGGGGGGUUGCAGUGAGAUUAGUAGGAGAACAGCCUCUAGUAAAGAUGAGGUCAAACGUAUUGCCUACCUUGUGAGUUGGAGGGGAUUGGGAAAGGGUGAGGUCAAAAGAGGCAAGGAGGGGAAAGAGAGCGUUGGAAAGAAAUGAAUCGAAGGCAGACGUCGGGAGGUUGAAGUCGCCAAGUACAAAGACCGAUGAAUGUUGUUAUAACUGUUGCUUCAUUAGUUAAGACACCACACCUACAACUGAAAAUCAUUUAGGGAAGAUUUAGUUAGAAAAGACUUAAUUAACCAGAAUGUUAUGGUAGAUGAGAUUUAGGAGCAUGAUGCAUCUUGAUGGAUGUCUGAUGUUGGAUAGAUACAGGGGGACAAAUCUGGAUGUUGGGAAAGGAGCCCUGGAGGUACCUGCUGUCUGGCACUGCAGAACCCCUCUGUAGAUUCUGUAGAGAUGUAACAGAGUAAACAGGGAGAGGAAAACGCCCAGUUGUGCAGCCCCGGCAUUGUGAAGGACUGGUAUAUAGGUAUGGCAACUGCUCGGCCUCCGACUGCAAGGCACUACAGAGGGUAGUGCGUACGGCCCAGUACAUCACUGGGGCCAAGCUUCCUGUCAUCCAGGACCUCUGUACCAGGCGGUGUCAGAGGAAAGCCCUAAAAAUGGUCAAAGACUCCAGCCACCCUAGUCAUAGACUGUUCUCUAUGCUACCGCACAGCAAGCAGUACCAGAGAUCAAAGUCUAGGUCCAAGAGGCUUCUAAACAGCUUCUACC